UUAUAUUGUCAAUGUAAUUUGACUGGAACGUUCUUUGGAAAGAACCAACAACGCACAAUUCAAGUGAAACUAUUUUCUUUUGAUUAUUAUCACAAUUGAAUGGAAAAUAGAAUAAAUUUUGUAGACACAACAGCGCUUACACAACGAUUGUACUCGAAACAACAAAGUGUUUGGCGGAAUCAAGACAAAGUACGCGCAAAAGACAUAUUUUUCACACACGCAUCAUUGAACGGAAGAAAAAAACAUUUUGGAACCGUAUUUUGACUGAAUAACCGGAGAAAUGUCGUUUGACAACAACUUUGGAAACGCUUGUAAAAUAAUUGAAGCAACGAGAAAGGUGGCCAAAUCGUACAAUGAGGUUCAUUUUUGGGAGAAUCCAACUGAGAAAACCUUCAACAACAAGCUGUGCAAAGAAUUGGGCAUGACACCAGAUCAAACGAGUGUGAAUAAAAUAUUGAAAGUGGUCGUUGAUUGGAACAUUCACAAAACUCUGAAAGGCCUUUACAGAGGCGAGUUCUCCACCAUUUUCCCUUCUCGUAAAUGAAUUCGAGAUGUUGAACAACCGUAAUAUUCAAUUGUCUCUUUUUCAUAUCUUUUUUUUCGAAUGAUUUAUUAUUAUAAUGAAA
Sitodiplosis mosellana (orange wheat blossom midge) is the source of this 626-nucleotide long non-coding RNA. RefSeq lists it as uncharacterized. The record is from RefSeq and is a predicted model, not a curated record. Lineage: Eukaryota; Metazoa; Arthropoda; Insecta; Diptera; Cecidomyiidae. The transcript is spliced from 3 exons.